This 488-nucleotide ribosomal RNA is filed under the name uncultured bacterium. RNAcentral's name for it is "partial 16S ribosomal RNA". It matches the Rfam family "Bacterial small subunit ribosomal RNA", at positions 30 to 507 of the family's 1533-position model. The record is from RNAcentral.
UGAACGCUGGCGGCAGGCCUAACUCAUGCAAGUCGAACGGUAACAGAAAGCAGCUUGCUGCUUUGCUGACGAGUGGCGGACGGGUGAGUAAUGUCUGGGAAACUGCCUGAUGGAGGGGGAUAACUACUGGAAACGGUAGCUAAUACCGCAUAACGUCGCAAGACCAAAGAGGGGGACCUUCGGGCCUCUUGCCAUCGGAUGUGCCCAGAUGGGAUUAGCUAGUAGGUGGGGUAACGGCUCACCUAGGCGACGAUCCCUAGCUGGUCUGAGAGGAUGACCAGCCACACUGGAACUGAGACACGGUCCAGACUCCUACGGGAGGCAGCAGUGGGGAAUAUUGCACAAUGGGCGCAAGCCUGAUGCAGCCAUGCCGCGUGUAUGAAGAAGGCCUUCGGGUUGUAAAGUACUUUCAGCGGGGAGGAAGGGAGUAAAGUUAAUACCUUUGCUCAUUGACGUUACCCGCAGAAGAAGCACCGGCUAACUCCGUG